AGCGAACGCUGGCGGCAGGCCUAACACAUGCAAGUCGAACGAACUCUUCGGAGUUAGUGGCGGACGGGUGAGUAACACGUGGGAACGUGCCUUUUGGUUCGGAAUAACUCAGGGAAACUUGUGCUAAUACCGAAUGUGCCCUUCGGGGGAAAGAUUUAUCGCCAUUAGAGCGGCCCGCGUCUGAUUAGCUAGUUGGUGAGGUAACGGCUCACCAAGGCGACGAUCAGUAGCUGGUCUGAGAGGAUGACCAGCCACACUGGGACUGAGACACGGCCCAGACUCCUACGGGAGGCAGCAGUGGGGAAUCUUGCGCAAUGGGCGAAAGCCUGACGCAGCCAUGCCGCGUGAAUGAUGAAGGUCUUAGGAUUGUAAAAUUCUUUCAUCGGGGACGAUAAUGACGGUACCCGGAGAAGAAGCCCCGGCUAACUUCGUG
Molecule: ribosomal RNA, 433 nt
Filed under: uncultured bacterium
Lineage: Bacteria
Description: partial 16S ribosomal RNA
Rfam family: Bacterial small subunit ribosomal RNA
Source: RNAcentral